This 464-nucleotide ribosomal RNA is filed under the name uncultured bacterium. Its description in RNAcentral is "partial 16S ribosomal RNA". It matches the Rfam family "Bacterial small subunit ribosomal RNA", at positions 28 to 506 of the family's 1533-position model. The record is from RNAcentral.
GACGAACGCUGGCGGCGUGCUUAACACAUGCAAGUCGAACGGAAAGGCCCUGCUUGCAGGGUACUCGAGUGGCGAACGGGUGAGUAACACGUGGGUGAUCUGCCCUGCACUUCGGGAUAAGCCUGGGAAACUGGGUCUAAUACCGGAUAGGAGCCAUUUUUAGUGUGAUGGUUGGAAAGUUUUUUCGGUGUAGGAUGAGCUCGCGGCCUAUCAGCUUGUUGGUGGGGUAAUGGCCUACCAAGGCGGCGACGGGUAGCCGGCCUGAGAGGGUGGACGGCCACAUUGGGACUGGGUUACGGCCCAGACUCCUACGGGGGGCAGCAGUGGGGAAUUUUGCCCAAUGGGCGCAAGCCUUAUGCAGCGACGCCGGGUGGGGGAUGACGGCCUUCGGUUUGUAAACUCCUUUCGCUAGGGACGAAGCUUUUUGUGGCGGUACCUAGAUAAGAAGCCCCGGCUAACUACGU